Molecule: long non-coding RNA, 2283 nt
Organism: Ostrinia nubilalis (European corn borer)
Lineage: Eukaryota; Metazoa; Arthropoda; Insecta; Lepidoptera; Crambidae
Exons: 3
Source: RefSeq, a predicted model, not a curated record
GACCUAUAAAAUAUUAAUCAUCAUUAGUCUAUCUUCCUAAUAAUCAUGACCACUGUCUAAUUACGGUAAUGACACAUUUAAGUACACUACCAAAUACAAAGAUACAUACUAUGCUAGCUAGAUAUAUUGAUGGUUGCGGGAUUCGAACCCGCGACCAAUUAGCUUAACAAAACACAUCGCGGUUCUCUACACAAAUACUAAAGUAAAGAAAACAUGUAAAGAAAUACUCAGUAAAGAAAACAUUACUUGAAAAUUAUUUGUCAGAACAAACUAAGUAUAAAAUAAAUGUAUAACAGUACUUACUCACAUUUUGCACAAUCGGGAGCUUGUUUCUUGCUAUUCACAAAGAAUCUCACAAAGUAAUUAAUUUUUUGCGGUGAAAUUCUGUAUUUAUGUGAUCAAUAAUAAAUUGUCAGCAAAAAUUAAGCUAAUUAGUUAAAACUAAAGUAACAAUAAAAUGAUAUACAAAUUUGGACCGUAUUUUUAUGUUCGAUAAGCACAGAAAAAAAAAUCACUAGCAAGUAGGUAUUACCUUUUGAAUUAAAAUAUUACCCAUACUUUGAUGUUACGUUUAAAGGAAAUAUGAUUGUGUUACACUAUGUUGCAGUAAAAGUGAAAUCAGAAUCUAAAGUAUGUAGGUUAAUUUCUUAAAUGGCUAGUCAAAUACUAAUUAUGUAGUAUUCCAAGUACCGAAUUUCCAUCAUUCUAUUUGUAAAGAGUUAAAUUGUAAUAAGCUACAUUGAUUUGAGUCUGCUUCCAACAGAAAACUAAUAAACCAACUAAUUUUACUCACGAUUUUAUUCGAUUUUAUUUUUCCUCACAAUGUUUACAUCUUUUUUACAAUGCAUUGUCAUUUAGAAAAAAAUUGACUUACUUUAUAAAGGUAGAUUUAACGGUAGAAGCAUUAUGUAUCAGUCACCAUUGAGUCACAUAGAAAGAUAAAAAGAAUUAUUAGUUUCAACUUGCAAUGCAACACGAAGUAAACAAUAAAAAUCUAAAGUUACAUGUCGUGCACACACAUUCAAAGCAUUUAAUGCUGAAUCUGCAAGUAAGCUGUGUGAGACCAGGAGCUGAGAUGUUUAAAUCGAUGUUUUAUUGAACAUUUGAAUAAAAUGUAUUUUAUUUUCAGAUUGGUUAAAUAUUGAUAUACAUUUUCAUUAAAUAUGAAAUAAAUGAUUUAAAAGAUUAUUUUAUUUUUGCAAUAUUAGAAAGAGUAAGUACUUAUAGUAGUAUAGUAGUAAAUGUACAAUAAAUAAAUGUCUAAUAGUCAUAAAUGUACAAUAAUGCAAAAUGUCAAAAAUUCGAAACAAAACUUUAAAACCAUUUUAAAAUGAACAGGUUUACAGAUAAAUAUAUAAAACUCUUACUCUUGGACUAUAAAUUGCAGCUCGUACAUUCCCACGAUCCACGCGAUGCAACGUACAGUGUGACAUUAGAUUUCAUCGAGUGCAAGUUCGUCAUGUACGUAAUAAUUAAAAAGUAUAAGUGCACAUUUUAAAAACUCUGUGAAACCAGUGCAGUAUUUCCUAAAAUGAGUACCUACUGCUCAGCAAGACAAUUAAAUAUCUACAAUAAUAAGCAGAAAACGUCGUUAUAGAUCUUGGUUAAAACAGAUCCCCAGUGACAUGAUUUAAUUAAUAAACUAAUUAAAUCGUGGAUAAGAAACUUCGACGAGAAGAAGAAUUGAUUUAUAUCAUCAAUAAUCGUAGUAAAAAAGGUCUUAAUUUAUUUCAAUUUAUAAUAAAUUAUGGUUGUGGUUGUUUUAUUUGAAUAAAAAAUCUCAAGGUAUGGUGUUACAUAAAGGUGAUGGUAUGGUUGUGCUAAAAACGGUAAAGGUAAAAGGGUAAGUAAUGGUAAACGGUAAUAAAAGGUAAUAGUAAUCAGGUACCUAAGAAAGAACAUUCAGAGAUAGAAUCUUGACAUAGCUCUUCAGCUGUGUAUGUUAGGUAGGAGGACAUUCAGUGAGAGAAUCUUACCAUGGGUCUUGAGCUGAAUGUGUUAGGCAGAACAAACGGUAAGAGAAUCUUACCAUGGGUCUCUGAAGAUACUUACCUCGGGUCUUCAACCGUUUGUGUUAGGAAGGACAUUCAGUAAGAUAAUCUUACCAUGGGUAUUAAGCUGAAUGUGUUAGGCGAUACAUUCAACAAAGGAAUCUUACCAUGGGUCCUGAGUUGUCUGUGUCAUAUUAGGCAGGACGUUCGGUGAGAGAAUCUUACCACGGGUCUCUCUGAAGAUACUUACCUCGGGUCUUCAGCCGUUUGUGUUAGGAAGGACAUUCAGUAA